AUCCCGCCGGACCUGACUGCUAUCGGAUUGAUACUAAGCCAUGCGAGUCUUUGCAGUAAUGCAAGGCGGACUGCUCAGUAACACGUAGUCAACUUAACCUAUGGAUGGGUAUAACCUCGGGAAACUGAGAAUAAUUCCCAAUAGAUCAUUUAUCCUGGAAUGGUUAGUGAUUGAAAUGAUUCGUCGCCAUAGGAUAGGACUGCGGCCUAUCAGCUUGUUGGUGAGGUAAAGGCCCACCAAGGCUAUUACAGGUACGGGCUCUGAGAGAAGAAGCCCGGAGAUGGGUACUGAGACACGGACCCAGGCCCUAUGGGGCGCAGCAGGCGAGAAAACUUUGCAAUGUGCGAAAGCACGACAAGGUUAAUCCGAGUGAUUUCUGCUAAAGAAAUCUUUUGCCAGUUCUAAAAAUACUGGUGAAUAAGGGGUGGGCAAGUUCUGGUGCCAGCAGCCGCGGUAAU
This 458-nucleotide ribosomal RNA is filed under the name uncultured archaeon. RNAcentral's name for it is "bacterial SSU rRNA". It matches the Rfam family "Archaeal small subunit ribosomal RNA", at positions 11 to 474 of the family's 1478-position model. The record is from RNAcentral.